CCCUUAGAUGUCCUGGGCCGCACGCGCGCUACACUGACAGGUUCAACAAGCCUCCUAGUUCGACAGGAUUUGGGAAAUCUUUGAACGCAUGUCGUGAUAGGGAUAGAUCAUUGCAAUUAUUGAUCUUGAACGAGGAAUUCCUAGUAAACGCGAGUCAUCAGCUCGCAUUGAUUACGUCCCUGCCCUUUGUACACACCGCCCGUCGCACCUACCGAUUGAAUGUUUCGGUGAAGAUUCCGGAUAGGACUUUUUUGAUUUAUUUCAAUUUUGUCUUAAAAGCUAUCUAAACCUCAACAUUUAGAGGAAGGUGAAGUCGUAACA
RNAcentral lists this ribosomal RNA (321 nucleotides) under uncultured eukaryote. RNAcentral's name for it is "partial 18S ribosomal RNA". It matches the Rfam family "Eukaryotic small subunit ribosomal RNA", at positions 1470 to 1796 of the family's 1831-position model. The record is from RNAcentral.